Molecule: non-coding RNA, 98 nt
Filed under: Deltaproteobacteria bacterium
Lineage: Bacteria; Pseudomonadati; Myxococcota; Myxococcia
Description: Guanine sequence
Rfam family: Purine riboswitch aptamer
About the family: Riboswitches are metabolite binding domains within certain messenger RNAs that serve as precision sensors for their corresponding targets. Allosteric rearrangement of mRNA structure is mediated by ligand binding, and this results in modulation of gene expression.
Source: RNAcentral
UUGUGUAGUCUAAAACUAAUUCUUAUAUACCGAAGAUAAGGUUCGGUGUUUCUACAAGCCGCCUUAAAUGGCUAACUAAGGAGGAUGUAUGCAGUUUU